GGGCUCGUAGCUCAGUUGGCAGAGCGCUCCCCUCGCACGGGAGAGGUCUCGGGUUCGAAUCCCGACGAGUCCA
RNAcentral lists this transfer RNA (73 nucleotides) under Nanobdellota archaeon. RNAcentral describes it as "tRNA-Ala". It matches the Rfam family "tRNA". From Rfam's summary of the family: Transfer RNA (tRNA) molecules are approximately 80 nucleotides in length. Their secondary structure includes four short double-helical elements and three loops (D, anti-codon, and T loops). The record is from RNAcentral. Lineage: Archaea; Nanobdellati; Nanobdellota.